UGAAGGGCAUCCUUGCAACGAGUUCACGGCAUACGUUAUGGCUCACAUGGGCAAGGCGACGUCCGACAUCGCCUUCGACCCGGCGGCUCCGCCCGAGGCCUAUAGCAACCCGAACAUCCACACCCGCGUGACUCGGUACACAGAGAUAGGAAAGGUGCUCCACAGGGACACAUGGGAUCCGGCCACCGCACCCCUUUCUGGAGAAGCCAUCAUGAGGGCGGGAGGAGGGAAGAAGCAUGGUCGGUACUGGCUCGGCGACAGCAUAGUCGACACGGCCAGUACGCCCACUCUCUCCCAGCUUCGGGCAAGGACCACUGACUCGACCUCGCCCAUACUUCCACGGCCCGAGAUUUCAGUGGCCAGCAUGUAUGCAUUCCAGGUUAUUUCUGAUUCAUUCGUCGGUUGUUUACGUACCUUUGUUUCGCAUUUUGACUUUGGGGUGAAAUCUUGUAGGCCCGGCUUGACGAAGAGAAGAGACUGCGGCAGGAGUUGGAAGAGAGGUUGGAGCAGGAGCGGAAGCAGAGGGAGGAGAAGGACCAAAGGUACGCCGCCAUGUUCGCCUACAUGCAAGGUCUAGGUGCAUCGAUAAACUAUCAACCACCGCCAACAAUGCCGUGGCCAACGCCAACUGCACCUCCACCACAGUUGCUCGGCGCACCGAUGGUAUUUCCUAGUGCAGUCACCCAUAAUCUAUCGGGGGUGGCAUCGAAUGAGCCUCCAGAUCAGCACUCCCCGGUGCCACAGUGGCCAGGUUCAAGAUCGGAGCAGAGAUGAUUAAGGUAUCGUUCGGUUGUCAUGUGUGCGCUGUACUAUGGACUAUGAUAUUAGAUUUGUGGUUGUUAGACUGCCGGAUGUUGGACUUGUAGCUGUUGGACUUGUCGAUGUUGGAAUAAUGCUUGUACUAUGGACUAUGAAUGCUUUGUGGACUAAAUUUGAACAUUAUGUGAUAUAAAUGUGAUGUUUGUGAUGGAAGUCA
Long non-coding RNA from Panicum virgatum (switchgrass), 976 nucleotides. RefSeq lists it as uncharacterized. The record is from RefSeq and is a predicted model, not a curated record. The transcript is spliced from 2 exons. NCBI's taxonomy places the organism in Eukaryota, Viridiplantae, Streptophyta, Magnoliopsida, Poales, Poaceae.